AGCCUGAUGCAGCCAUGCCGCGUGUGUGAAGAAGGCCUUCGGGUUGUAAAGCACUUUCAGUAAGGAGGAAAGGUUGGAUGUUAAUAGCAUUCAGCUGUGACGUUACUUACAGAAGAAGCACCGGCUAACUCCGUGCCAGCAGCCGCGGUAAUACGGAGGGUGCGAGCGUUAAUCGGAAUUACUGGGCGUAAAGCGUACGCAGGCGGUUUGUUAAGCGAGAUGUGAAAGCCCCGGGCUCAACCUGGGAACUGCAUUUCGAACUGGCAAACUAGAGUGUGAUAGAGGGUGGUAGAAUUUCAGGUGUAGCGGUGAAAUGCGUANAGAUCUGAAGGAAUACCGAUGGCGAAGGCAGCCACCUGGGUCAACACUGACGCUCAUGUACGAAAGCGUGGGGAGCAAACAGGAUUAGAUACCCUGGUAGUCCACGCCGUAAACGAUGUCUACUAGAAGCUCGGUUCCUCGGAACUGUUUUUCAAAGCUAACGCAUUAAGUAGACCGCCUGGGGAGUACGGCCGCAAGGUUAAAACUCAAAUGAAUUGACGGGGGCCCGCACAAGCGGUGGAGCAUGUGGUUUAAUUCGAUGCAACGCGAAGAACCUUACCUACACUUGACAUACAGAGAACUUA
RNAcentral lists this ribosomal RNA (626 nucleotides) under Pseudoalteromonas sp. NJSN24. Its description in RNAcentral is "bacterial SSU rRNA". It matches the Rfam family "Bacterial small subunit ribosomal RNA", at positions 380 to 999 of the family's 1533-position model. Lineage: Bacteria; Pseudomonadati; Pseudomonadota; Gammaproteobacteria; Alteromonadales; Pseudoalteromonadaceae. The record is from RNAcentral.